CACGUAGGGCGCAAGCGUUGUCCGGAAUUAUUGGGCGUAAAGAGCUCGUAGGCGGACCUGCAAGUCGGGGGUGAAAGCCCGAGGCUCAACCUCGGAACUGCCUUCGAUACUGCGGGUCUCGAGUCCGGGAGAGGUGAGUGGAAUUCCUAGUGUAGAGGUGAAAUUCGUAGAUAUUAGGAAGAACACCAGUGGCGAAGGCGGCUCACUGGCUCGGUACUGACGCUGAGGCGCGAAAGCGUGGGGAGCAAACAGG
This 253-nucleotide ribosomal RNA is filed under the name uncultured bacterium. Its description in RNAcentral is "partial 16S ribosomal RNA". It matches the Rfam family "Bacterial small subunit ribosomal RNA", at positions 524 to 776 of the family's 1533-position model. The record is from RNAcentral.